RNAcentral lists this ribosomal RNA (352 nucleotides) under uncultured bacterium. RNAcentral's name for it is "partial 16S ribosomal RNA". It matches the Rfam family "Bacterial small subunit ribosomal RNA", at positions 338 to 707 of the family's 1533-position model. The record is from RNAcentral.
CCUACGGGAGGCUGCAGUGGGGAAUAUUGGACAAUGGCGGAAACGCUGAUCCAGCGACGCCGCGUGAGGGAAGAAGUAUUUCGGUAUGUAAAGCCCUAUCAGCAGGGGAGAAAAUGACGGUACCUGACUAAGAAGCCCCGGCUAACUACGUGCCAGCAGCCGAGGUACUACGUAGGGGGCAGGCGUUAUCCGGAUGUACUGGGUGUAAGGGGAGCGUAGACGGUGCAGCAAGUGUGAGGGGAAAGGUCGGGGCCAAACCCCGGGCCUGCAUUAGAAACUGUUUAACUGGAGUACAGGAGAGGUAAGCGAAAUGCGUAGUGGAGCGGUGAAACGUGUAGAUAAUAGGAGGAAC